RNAcentral lists this ribosomal RNA (239 nucleotides) under uncultured bacterium. RNAcentral's name for it is "partial 16S ribosomal RNA". It matches the Rfam family "Bacterial small subunit ribosomal RNA", at positions 335 to 566 of the family's 1533-position model. The record is from RNAcentral.
GUUCCUACGGGACGCAGCAGUAGGGAAUCUUCCACAAUGGACGAAAGUCUGAUGGAGCAACGCCGCGUGAGUGAAGAAGGGUUUCGGCUCGUAAAGCUCUGGUGGUAGUGAAGAAAGAUAGAGGUAGGAACUGGCCUUUAUUUGACGGGAAUUACUUAGAAAGUCACGGCUAACUACGUGCCAGCAGCCGCGGUAAUACGGAGGGGGCAAGCGGUGUCCGGAUUUAUUGGGCGUAAAGC